This 305-nucleotide ribosomal RNA is filed under the name uncultured bacterium. RNAcentral describes it as "bacterial SSU rRNA". It matches the Rfam family "Bacterial small subunit ribosomal RNA", at positions 338 to 660 of the family's 1533-position model. The record is from RNAcentral.
CCUACGGGGGGCAGCAGUGAGGGAUAUUGGUCAAUGGGGGAAACCCUGAACCAGCAACGCCGCGUGAGGGAAGACGGUUUUCGGAUUGUAAACCUCUGUCCUCUGUGAAGAUAAUGACGGUAGCAGAGGAGGAAGCUCCGGCUAACUACGUGCCAGCAGCCGCGGUAAUACGUAGGGAGCAAGCGUUAUCCGGAUUUACUGGGUGUAAAGGGCGUGUAGGCGGGCCUGCAAGUCAGAAGUGAAAUCUGGGGGCUUAACCCCUAAACUGCUUUUGAAACUGUGGGUCUUGAGUGAUGGAGAGGCAG